AAAAUAUUUUGCAGAUGUCGGCAUGAAUUUGACAGUCCAGCGCCAGCUGAAAAAUGAAUGAAAAUCUCAAGAACAAACUUAAAAAAGAAAAAAGGAAAAGAAUGAAGAUGGAGAGAAGAUAUAUGAAAGUAAUGAAAGCAGUAUUGGAGUCAAGCGACACCGAUUCAGAAUAAGGUGAUGUAAUAAAUUAAAAGCAAUUGGCGUCCUGGAUAAAUGAACUCAAGGAACAAUUAAAAGAUGAGAAGAAGAAGAGAAGAUAACUAAGAUCCAGAUUCAGGUUGGUGAUGAUUCCAUCGAGUAGAGAUGAUACCAGAUAUGCUGAAUAGCGACUCCAACUCAGAUUGAGAAAUCUGAUGUCUUCUACACCUUUUUAUCAUAAAUAGAACGACAUCAAAAGAGUUGGUGAAAGCCAGAAAUCUAAGAUUCCCAAGAUCAAGACCAAGGCUGCACCAAAACCUUCAAAACUGAAAGAGAGAGAAAUAAAGAGAGAGAACUAAAGAGAGAGAACUAAAGAAAGAGAACUAAAGAGAGAGAACUAAAGAAGGCCGAGAUACAGUUCCUUAAGGAGGCAUUGAAAGAAAAUCCAGAG
Long non-coding RNA from Saccostrea cuccullata (small rock oyster), 589 nucleotides. RefSeq lists it as uncharacterized. The transcript has 4 exons. The record is from RefSeq and is a predicted model, not a curated record. NCBI's taxonomy places the organism in Eukaryota, Metazoa, Mollusca, Bivalvia, Ostreida, Ostreidae.